RNAcentral lists this ribosomal RNA (487 nucleotides) under uncultured bacterium. RNAcentral's name for it is "bacterial SSU rRNA". It matches the Rfam family "Bacterial small subunit ribosomal RNA", at positions 28 to 526 of the family's 1533-position model. The record is from RNAcentral.
GACGAACGCUGGCGGCGUGCUUAACACAUGCAAGUCGAACGAUGAUGCCCAGCUUGCUGGGUGGAUCAGUGGCGAACGGGUGAGUAACACGUGGGUGAUCUGCCCUGCACUUUGGGAUAAGCCUGGGAAACUGGGUCUAAUACCGAAUACACCCUGCUGGUCGCAUGGCCUGGUGGGGGAAAGCUUUUGCGGUGUGGGAUGGGCCCGCGGCCUAUCAGCUUGUUGGUGGGGUGAUGGCCUACCAAGGCGACGACGGGUAGCCGGCCUGAGAGGGUGUCCGGCCACACUGGGACUGAGAUACGGCCCAGACUCCUACGGGAGGCAGCAGUGGGGAAUAUUGCACAAUGGGCGCAAGCCUGAUGCAGCGACGCCGCGUGAGGGACGACGGCCUUCGGGUUGUAAACCUCUUUCAGCACAGACGAAGCGCAAGUGACGGUAUGUGCAGAAGAAGCACCGGCCAACUACGUGCCAGCAGCCGCCGUAACAC